Mangifera indica (mango) is the source of this 393-nucleotide long non-coding RNA. RefSeq lists it as uncharacterized. The record is from RefSeq and is a predicted model, not a curated record. The transcript has 3 exons. NCBI's taxonomy places the organism in Eukaryota, Viridiplantae, Streptophyta, Magnoliopsida, Sapindales, Anacardiaceae.
UAUUAAAAGAAAAAAACGUUGUCGUAUUGGCUGUUGGAAGCAAUUAAAGAAAUUAAAGCAGCAAACCUAAUAUUUUUUCUGCUGCUCUUCAUUCUUCUCUGCCGAGAAUAUUUAGCCAAAACUAAAAUACGCCGACAACAAGGUUUUCCAUUCCACCUUUCUUCUCUGCUGUUCAUCCGCCGACAAGGUUUUCCACCUUUCUUCUCUGUUGUUCAGCCGCUGCCGACAAGGUUUUCCACCUUUCUUCUUUGUUGUUCAGCCGCCGACAAGGAGGAAAUGGAUCGGAAGUCUGGAUAUUGGUGGUCACUUGACAAAUACGAGCCCAAACCCGAGCCGAGCGAACCCGAGCUAUUAGAGACGAGCCCGAGUUAGGUGCGAGCCGAGCACGAACAC